UACGGGGGGGGCAAGCGUUGUUCGGAAUUACUGGGCGUAAAGGGCUCGUAGGUGGCCAACUAAGUCGGACGUGAAAUCCCUCAGCUUAACUGGGGAACUGCGUCCGAUACUGGAUGGCUUGAGUUUGGGAGAGGGAUGCGGAAUUCCAGGUGUAGCGGUGAAAUGCGUAGAUAUCUGGAGGAAUACCGGUGGCGAAGGCGGCUACCUGGCCCAACAUUGACACUGAGGCCCAAAAGCGUGGGGAUCAAACAGG
RNAcentral lists this ribosomal RNA (253 nucleotides) under uncultured bacterium. RNAcentral describes it as "partial 16S ribosomal RNA". It matches the Rfam family "Bacterial small subunit ribosomal RNA", at positions 524 to 776 of the family's 1533-position model. The record is from RNAcentral.